GAGAUAAUCGAGAUUACUGUCUGGAGCUCGAGUAGUUAACAAGAGUGUUUUUAUGCAUGCAAGAUGACAAAGAUCAAAAUGACCCGCCUUCUACACAAUAAAAUGAAAACGAAACUUAAAGGAACAUUGCAAUAAAAACUUGAAUCGUCGUUGAAUGUCAUCAAGCAGAGCUCAACAUGGGAUCGGAUCAAUUUCAAUCUCAGAAUAAAAUUAUUUGUGCACUUUGCGAGAAAUCAGACGAAACUGAAAUCACAGGGCCUCUCUCCUCCAAAGGAAACAUCUCCGCACAUCAAAACUGUUUGUUGUUUGCAUCAGGGAUCUACUGCAAGAAAUCGCCCACCUAUGACGACCUGUUUGGAUUUGAUGUAGAAGAUGUAAAGAAAGAGCUGAAGAGAGGAAAAAGACUACUUUGCCACCUCUGUAAAAAAAACGGUGCUACAGCGGGAUGUGAUGUAAAACGUUGUAAGCGCUCGUACCAUUAUCCCUGCGCCAUAGAGGA
This is a long non-coding RNA of Sinocyclocheilus rhinocerous, 499 nucleotides long. RefSeq lists it as uncharacterized. The record is from RefSeq and is a predicted model, not a curated record. NCBI's taxonomy places the organism in Eukaryota, Metazoa, Chordata, Actinopteri, Cypriniformes, Cyprinidae. The transcript is spliced from 3 exons.